CUGGAAAAUUGCAAAGUGUCACACUGUGAUAUCUCAGCCAGGUGUUGGACCCUAAGACAGUAGGAGGACAGGUAGUCACCUAAUGUCCCUGCACAGUCAGGGGAAGAUGAACUCAGGGGAGUUUGCUUUUACUGAUACUGAGUUUGAAGUGACGCAGAAGUGGGAAUGUCCAGGUAAUUUAACCUGUAAUAAUAGAACCUGGGACAUGGUCAGGUCUAGGGACGUAGACAGAGCCUCUCUGAAGUUCCAGGAGUUCUGUACCAUUUCCAAUUAUUUUGAGCUAAUUGGCAUAUCAGAAAAUAAGGAAUUGGAAAACAGGCUUAUGGAUUUUGUGGCAUACUUAACAUUUUUACAUUUAUCACGAUAACCCCUUUAGAAUAUACAAACAAUUCACCUGUGUUUUUAAUCAAGAUAAUAAUAAAGUUUCUAAAAUAUAUUUAUGUAUGAAGGAUGAAAUAGUUUGGCUCUAUAAAGGGGUAUAGGUUAGAUGAUCAUUCAUCUCACUCUGCCUGGGACAGUCUUGGUUUACACCUGUUGUCCCAGCAUAAUUAUUAAUAGCUCUCAAAAGUGUGUUCUAGUUUGGAUGAUAAAUGGUUGGGUCAACCUAGAAAUAUGUUUAAAUUUGUAUGCUGAAGGCCUAUUCCCAUACUCUCCAAGUGGCUCCAUAACGCUAUGUAAAGCUCAUUUAGGGAAACAGCAAAAGUCUCAAUGGUAGGAACAGUGGGAGUGGGUCCUAGGAACCAAUAUGGGAGUCACCCCCAUAGACUGACACUGACUCAAAUCCCCCAGGGCAUUUCCUCAGUUCAGUACAUGGAUGGGGGAUGCUCUCCAAAGCUUGACUUCCUCAAGUUGUUAAUGAUUUGAAAACCUUGUGAUCCAUGGUGUCCUGUGUGACAGUUGACAUUACCAAUGACAGACUUGAUCUUCUGGGCCCUGUGGAACCAGGUUUCCAUCCAGAUGCUGCUAUUUCUUGUGAUCUCACGCAACUUAGGAUGUCUCUCUGAACCUUUCUUUUAUCACUUGCAUAUUGUGGAAGGAUAAUACUUCCUGCUCCAGUGGUCUGGCUGUAUUAAAUGAGAUUUGUGUAAUGUGCCUGCGGCAUAUUAUGCACAAGGCACCAAACAGUCCAUUUCUUCUUUAAAAUAUGUGUAAAAUACUUAGGGUUUUAGUACAUCUUUAAGUUCCAGUUGAGAUUUGUAAGACAGAGACAAGACACUUGGGGCAAUUUCACAGUUUUGUGAGUGAAGUCCCUCUAACCUUAGGGGCCCAGUUAAACCAGAAGCUGAAUUUACCAGCAGACAGUAAUGCACAGGUUCCAUCUCUGCUCCUUAUGAACAAGGCAUAAUUCUGAAAUUCCCCACCACUGGAAAGAAAUUUAAUAUUUAAAGGUAAUUUGACCUGUACAUGCGUGUAUCAUGAAUAUUUAAUGAAACCUAUAGCAAAUGUAUUUAUAUAGCAUUAAUCUGAGGAUAUUUAUUUCUUAUUCAUAUUCUAGGAUAUUAUUUCUUGGGCAAAUGUGAAGUUACCCUCUGUAAAAAAUGCUCAGCUCUAAAGGUGCACUGAAAAAUUGGAGACUGGAGCUAUUCCGUUUUCUGCUUUAACUUGUCAACACUGCCUUUGCUCCCUAAAAAGGAGAACAAUUCUAAAAGGUUAAGAUGUAUCCCAGAGACAUUAUGGCCAUAGGGUUAGACCAUCACAUCUUCACAAGGACCCCUUUUGAUCCUUUUCUGUUUAUAUAAUGUCCAAAAAUAUAAAGAACAGUUGCACUUUUUCACUUUCCUUUCAUAUCAGUGAUUUCACUCCUUUGUGAUAUUUCAAAUGGUCAGUGCUUUAAAUUAAAAGGUAUGCAUGAUUCAAUGUAAUUAAUAAUGUGUAAUUUAGAGAAUUUUUUAAAAUUUAUUUUUCGAAUAGGUUUGGACAGAUACCUAGAAUGCAGGUGUUUUUCUUUGAUGUAGCUUCAAUGUUGGGAUUUUUUUUAAGGUGAAAACAAACAUCAACAAGAAAAACAACAAAUGAAAAGCACUGUGUCCAGAUGCAAUUUCGCACUAUUUUGUUAUGUUUUCACCACAUCAGAUGUGGUAGAUUUGGAAAGAAAAAAAUGUGACUUCUCGUCUGAUCGUUAAAAAUUUUUAUUCUUAGAGUCAAGAUCUCGCUCUGUCACCCAGGCUGGAGUGCAGUGGUGGGAUCAUAGCUCACUGCCACCUUGAAUUCCUGAACUCAAGCGAUCCUCCCACUUUAGCCUCCUGAGUAGCUGGGACUACAGGUGCACACCAACACUAUGCCUGGAUAAUUAAAAAAAAAAUUGUAGACACGGAAGUCUUGCUGUGUUGCUCAGGCUGGUGUUGAACUUCUGAUCUCAAGUGAUCCUCCUGUCCUGGAAUUCCAAAAUGUACUAUGAAGACUGAGUGUCUGAGAAAGUGUGCUUCCUGGACAAGCAUUAGCCCCCCUCCAGUGAGCCUCCCUCAUGCACCCUGCAGAUUCUGGGCUCCCUCCAAUUCCUCAAAGCCUCAAGAGGUGGAUCCCUCCUUUCUACGGAGAGCCAGCUUUCCCACUGCAUGGGGAGGCACUGCAGAGUUCUCAAUCUUGCAACAAUCACAGAGCCCACCUCUGGAGGUGCCCCACCUUUUCUCCUGGCUACGAAGCCAAAACUAAAGUUAAGUCACAGCUUACUUGAGAUGUGCUAAGCCUGUUGAAGAUGAUAUGCCAAGGAGCCUGUAAGAAAACCAUUUGUGCUGGAGGAAACCAUGGCAGUUCCCAUGGACUGGAUUUUGAGGGUGCCUGAUUAAGGUGUCCAGACAUAAGAUGGGGAUGCUCUCAAUAUAUGGGAUUUAACACCAGGGAAGAACAAAAACUUCUUGAGAGAAUGGCUCCUAGAAGUCUGGAAAACAAGCUGGCCCCCAUGCUGGGUGAAGAUCCAAAGUUCAAUGGCUAUGGCAGAUGGUAGAAGAAAGGACUAAAAGGCUCAGCACAGAGGCUAUGCUGGAGAGGGUGUAAGAUUUGAGGCCAGGGGACCCACCAGAAGAUUAUGUUCCUCAGCAAGGCCCAGACGACUCAGCAUUCCCAGGGCUGCUGCACAUGUGCUGAUGAGACAGGCACCUGCAUCUUUAACUUUUGUGAAAGUUCUGUUCUGCAGUGGGGAUGAUGGUGUCUCAAAGCAAUAGACAUCAGGCAGUAACACGUAACCACCAGCAUCCAGGAGCAAUUUGUAAUGAUUGAGAAGAUCACAGUGACGAGGAAGAUGGACAGACCCACGGAGAAUUGUGGAGAUCAUUUAUACAAUGAAAUAGGAACAGUUUUCUAAGGGAUGAAAUAGGUAGGCAGUGAAUAAUGGUACUGCCUAAUACAUGUAAUCAAAAUAACAAAUUCCACACAACUAGGAUUAUUUCUGUGAUCUACAGUCUGUCCAUUCUGAGUGGGACCUGGAGCAGGAAGAGGGUCUGCCCCAGGUGCAGGCUGCGUUCAGGCAUCCCUGCCAUGUGCACCAUGUGUCGGCGGUGGAAAGUGAUGCAGAGAUGAGGUCAUGACAGUGGGGGAUUCUCAGUGCAGAGCCCUGGGGUUCUGCAACAAAGAGAAGCCAUUUGCAAUGAAGAACUGUGCAUCAUCAUCCCACUGUACCCUGGGAGGGAAGGAGUGUUUGAGAAUAAGUGACCAUGCAUCCAGGCCUUCUAUUAUGAGCUGGAUUCUGCCAGAGUCAUCAGUUCAUCAAGCCAGACAAGCAUCAUAAUAAUCUAUCACAAAAUGGAAAUGGAACAGCUGAGAUUGAGCCCAAGCAGAACCAGAGGGCAUGAGUACGCGGCAUGAUAGCCUUGUGUCCCUCGCUCAAUUCACACUGAUGGCCCUAUGGGGGUCCCAUAAAACAAACUGAGGGAAGGAAAAUAAAUUACCAAAGUUGAUCAACAGGUAGAUUAUCUCAGUAUAGCAGUCCAAGCUAAAAUGGACAGCUGGCUGCAUUGUAGCCAUAGUCAAGGGUAGCCUUGAAAGAUAGUGGUGACAUAAGACCUUCCCAAUGAGACGGCUUUACGUGAUGCACUUGAUCAUGCACUUUAUGUAGCAGGGAGAAUGGCCUGAGCAAAGACUAUGUAAAUAUUCAUGGGCAGUGACUACAAAUAACACUGGACUGGCUGGGCAGGGGCUGAAUGGCCUGGCCUAGCUAGGCAGGGUCUGUUAUAGAAAAAGACUGGAAGAUCACAAAGAGGCAAGAAGAAAAGUGAAGAUAUCCCUUACAGCCACACUCCGGAAUAAUCUAUAAGAAGGGAAAAGGUGAAAUUGACUCAAGAAAUGCUGAUGGAUGCAGGACCUAAGGUGGUGGGGGCUGGGAAGAUCAGUCACAAAAUCUCAGAUAAUAGAACCCAAAAGACAUCACUAUUUGAAGGAGACCAAGAAAUAGCAAGAACACUCACACCGGAAAAAAAUCAAUCACUGUAAUAUGUCUAUUGCAAUAAAAUUGAACUACCUUACAAAUGUUUUGAGAAUUAAGGGUAAAUUCUAAAAUACUUCUACGUGUUAGAAAGAAUAAAUGGAAACCAGGAACAGAAAACCAAACACUGCAUAUUCUCACUCAUAAGUGGGAGUUGAACAAUGAAAACACAUGGACACAGGGAGGGGAACAUCACACACCAGUGCCUGUCAGAGGCGGUGGGGAGAGGGGAGGGAGAGCAUUAGGACAAAUACCUAGUGCAUGCGGGGCUUAAAACCUAGAUGAUGGGUUGAUAGGCACAACAAACCACCAAGACACAUGUAUACCUAUGUAAUAAACCUGCACAUUCAGAACAGGUAUCCCAGAACUUAAAGUAAAAUGAAAUAAUAAAUA
RNAcentral lists this long non-coding RNA (4810 nucleotides) under Homo sapiens (human). RNAcentral describes it as "HSALNT0225268". Lineage: Eukaryota; Metazoa; Chordata; Mammalia; Primates; Hominidae. The record is from RNAcentral.